RNAcentral lists this long non-coding RNA (2198 nucleotides) under Nicotiana benthamiana. RNAcentral's name for it is "long non-coding RNA (NBEN_LNC027303)". The record is from RNAcentral. Lineage: Eukaryota; Viridiplantae; Streptophyta; Magnoliopsida; Solanales; Solanaceae.
AAUCAAUGACUUUAGGUAUUCAAAUAAGCCAACAUUAUGUGAAUCUGCAAGUAUUAAACUUGAUAAAACAUUAAAUUACUGGAUCAGUGGCAUUAAUUAUACAACACUGAAUUAGAAUUUCAAAUAUAACGGACAUAUUUACUUUACUAGAUUACUGGCCAAACAAUACAGUCCUAAUUUGAAUAUGAAUUUAAGCUACCUGUUAUAAUAACAUGAAUUAACAAAACUUAAAACUACUAACUACCAGAAUCAGUUGCCUAUUGUAUGAAUCAGUUGACAAUCCAGCUGUCUCAGGCCUAUUAUUACAUGUCCAACAUGAAUUAAUCCUUCUAAAUGAACACAAGAGAACUGUAUACGAACUAAGGCAAUAACAAAAUGGUUGCACUUCAAUUUCUCUUUCAAUUGGAUUUUAUUCAGCUUACAAUUACAUACAGCACUCAACAGUGGAGAUAAGUACCUGAAAUAGCAAUGAAAUGGGAGAGGGCAGAUGGAUCAGCAACAGUAACACACAGUAGGUCACAUCAACCACAUAUUUAAGUUCAAACAGCCCCAAUCAACCCAAUCAAGCCCAGAAAUAUAUCCAGGAAGAGUUCAGAAGUAUUUUAAAACAAACAAGGUCAAUAGAUCAAGCUAACACAGAUUUGAAUACACCCAAAUCCACCUGAGAUUGAACUUUAAAACACCCUAGGACUUCAUUGGAACACACCUUGACCAAAUCCAAACUAAGUAGACCCUAAACUCAACCUAACAAAUCGUUAAACCUCUCUAAAUGCCUUCAGAAUUAAAGCUUAGAACAGGAAUGAAGCAAUCCAAAAAGGAAUUCGAAAAAUAAUUAGAGCCAGCAAUGAAAUAGUGAAACUGUUUGGUUUUUUAUUUUUUGAUGUUUUUGUAUUUUGGAUAUUUGAAUGUCAAACACAGAUUUCAGAAUUAAAGAGAGAGAUGGAGUUUUUCAGUGGGAAUUCUUACGGCUGAAAGGGAAGGCCUCUCCCACGGCAAUUUUGAUGCAUUAUAUAGGCCCCAAUCAGAUUUUCCUUUUCAUUUUAGUCCCUUACUCAAAUUAGUUUUUACCCCCUUAUUUCCUAAUUUGUCACACAAGUAAGUGCCCUUCCUUUUCGAAAUUCUAACCUUGCCCCUUAUCUAGAAGGUUCUAGGAUGACCUAGCUGAAUUCCCCAAUGUGUAUUCCCCAUUCUGCCCCUACCCUUUUCCCUGAAUUACCCCCAUGUCCUUAUAACCAAACUACUUUCUAGACUACGAAUUGAACAACAAUUAGCAAAUGAAAUCCUAAUUUAUUGCUACCGCCUGAUUAUCAAUGUAACAUGACUAACCAUCAAACCUAAGCAAGCACCAUUAACUUUACACUAAUCUAACUAACAAGUGGAAAAUCUGAUGCACACAGAAUGAUCACUGAUGAGACCACAAAACAACAGAAAUGACACUGAAAUAAAAAUCUAUCCUACCAAAGCAUCAAUUAAUCAGGACAAAGACUAGAAAUGAAAGUCAAAUAGAAAAGAAAUUAAAAAAGCAGACUCUAGCUAAAAUCUAAACAAACAAGCAGUUAAGUAAAGAACUGGAAGAGAAUUAUCGACAGGUGACACACAUUAAACUAGAGAUUAACAUUCGAGAGAAUAACAACAAAAAAUAAGAGAAAUAUUCCAAGAAAGAAAACUCACUUGAAUUGAAACGAUUUAAACAAGAAUCCGGUUAAGUGAAAUUCAGCUCCGGCCAUUUACGGUCACAUUUGAACUCUUUUGACACCGAAAUCCUCGUGAGGGCAGCCCAAGGAAUCCUAUAAUACUAAUUUGGUAAGGUUUGGAUUAUAUAGGAUUUUGGACGGAAAUAUUUAAAUCAGUAUUCGACCCAUGCCAUGAACAUUCGAGACAUGGGGUUAGGGGGGUUUGAUAUAGGAGGGUGUGAUGAUCCUACGAUAUAAUUUUGGUACGAUUUAGAGUAACUGGCGUCGUGGCCAGAAAAGUUUGAUCGAUUAUUCGAUGACCUGGGCUGAGAUUUGAAGGAAAUGGACCAGGGAAUCGAGAUGAGGGAGAAGAGGAGAAGUUGGGGUGUUAAUCUAGCGUCCGUUAGUGGUGGUGGCAUUCACCGCCGGUGGCGGCUCCGGCAAGGUGUAGAGAUAGUACGAGGAAGACGAGAGAUGAUCGUAUAGGGUUAGUGAUUUUAGGACAAUUAUAUUAAAUUACAAGAG